GACGGACCUUGCGAACGUUGUUCGGAAUCACUGGGCUUAAAGGGUGCGUAGGCGGGUUGUCCAGUCUGGGGUGAAAUCCCACGGCUCAACCGUGGAACUGCCUCAGAUACUGACGACCUCGAGGGAGGUAGGGGCGAGCGGAACUGUGGGUGGAGCGGUGAAAUGCGUUGAUAUCCACAGGAACUCCGGUGGCGAAGGCGGCUCGCUGGACCUCUUCUGACGCUGAGGCACGAAAGCUAGGGGAGCAAACGGG
Molecule: ribosomal RNA, 253 nt
Filed under: uncultured bacterium
Lineage: Bacteria
Description: partial 16S ribosomal RNA
Rfam family: Bacterial small subunit ribosomal RNA
Source: RNAcentral